GACGAACGCUGGCGGCGUGCCUAAUACAUGCAAGUUGAGCGCUGAAGGUUGGUACUUGUACCGACUGGAUGAGCAGCGAACGGGUGAGUAACGCGUGGGGAAUCUGCCUUUGAGCGGGGGACAACAUUUGGAAACGAAUGCUAAUACCGCAUAAAAACUUUAAACACAAGUUUUAAGUUUGAAAGAUGCAAUUGCAUCACUCAAAGAUGAUCCCGCGUUGUAUUAGCUAGUUGGUGAGGUAAAGGCUCACCAAGGCGAUGAUACAUAGCCGACCUGAGAGGGUGAUCGGCCACAUUGGGACUGAGACCCGGCCCAAACUCCUACGGGAGGCAGCAGUAGGGAAUCUUCGGCAAUGGACGAAAGUCUGAACGAGCAACGCCGCGUGAGUGAAGAAGGUUUUCGGAUCGGAAAACUCUGUUGGUAGAGAAGAACGUUGGUGAGAGUGGAAAGCUCAUCAAGUGACGGUAACUACACAGAAAGGGACGGCUAACUACGUG
RNAcentral lists this ribosomal RNA (497 nucleotides) under uncultured bacterium. Its description in RNAcentral is "partial 16S ribosomal RNA". It matches the Rfam family "Bacterial small subunit ribosomal RNA", at positions 28 to 507 of the family's 1533-position model. The record is from RNAcentral.